CCGAUAUCAAUCACCUCGAAAAGAAGUGCAUCGCUAAAACGCGGCAAAUAAAUGAGUUACAAGGGGAUAUUCAAAAUUUGAAAGAGAAACUGGUAAAUAAAGACAGGCAGAUUGCAGAUAUGCAGGCAAACCAAAACAGAAUGUAUGCAGAGAAUGAUAGUCUAAUGCUCAAGAGUGAAAAUGGCAGAACAGACAGCAGCAAGGGCAAGGGCUUCCCUACCAAAGACAGCAGAAACUGAAACUUUAGCC
This is a long non-coding RNA of Mya arenaria, 249 nucleotides long. RefSeq lists it as uncharacterized. Lineage: Eukaryota; Metazoa; Mollusca; Bivalvia; Myida; Myidae. The transcript has 4 exons. The record is from RefSeq and is a predicted model, not a curated record.